This 780-nucleotide ribosomal RNA is filed under the name uncultured bacterium. RNAcentral describes it as "bacterial SSU rRNA". It matches the Rfam family "Bacterial small subunit ribosomal RNA", at positions 96 to 871 of the family's 1533-position model. The record is from RNAcentral.
CGGCGGACGGGUGAGUAAUGCUUAGGAAUCUGCCUAUUAGUGGGGGACAACAUUCCGAAAGGAAUGCUAAUACCGCAUACGUCCUACGGGAGAAAGCAGGGGAUCUUCGGACCUUGCGCUAAUAGAUGAGCCUAAGUCGGAUUAGCUAGUUGGUGGGGUAAAGGCCUACCAAGGCGACGAUCUGUAGCGGGUCUGAGAGGAUGAUCCGCCACACUGGGACUGAGACACGGCCCAGACUCCUACGGGAGGCAGCAGUGGGGAAUAUUGGACAAUGGGGGGAACCCUGAUCCAGCCAUGCCGCGUGUGUGAAGAAGGCCUUAUGGUUGUAAAGCACUUUAAGCGAGGAGGAGGCUACUGAGACUAAUACUCUUGGAUAGUGGACGUUACUCGCAGAAUAAGCACCGGCUAACUCUGUGCCAGCAGCCGCGGUAAUACAGAGGGUGCGAGCGUUAAUCGGAUUUACUGGGCGUAAAGCGUGCGUAGGCGGCUUUUUAAGUCGGAUGUGAAAUCCCCGAGCUUAACUUGGGAAUUGCAUUCGAUACUGGGAAGCUAGAGUAUGGGAGAGGAUGGUAGAAUUCCAGGUGUAGCGGUGAAAUGCGUAGAGAUCUGGAGGAAUACCGAUGGCGAAGGCAGCCAUCUGGCCUAAUACUGACGCUGAGGUACGAAAGCAUGGGGAGCAAACAGGAUUAGAUACCCUGGUAGUCCAUGCCGUAAACGAUGUCUACUAGCCGUUGGGGCCUUUGAGGCUUUAGUGGCGCAGCUAACGCGAUAAGUAGACCG